AUUGAACGCUGGCGGCAGGCCUAACACAUGCAAGUCGCACGAGUGGCGGACGGGUGUGUAAUGUCUGGGAAACUGCCUGAUGGAGGGGGAUAACUACUGGAAACGGUAGCUAAUACCGCAUACCAUCAGCUGUGCCCAGAUGGGAUUAGCUUGGUGGUGGGGUAACGGCUCACCAAGGCGACGCUCCCUAGCUGGUCCGAGAGGAUGACCAGCCACACUGGAACUGAGACACGGUACAGACUCCUACGGGAGGCAGCAGUAGGGAAUAUUGCAAAAUGGGCGCAAGCCGGAUGCAGAAGUGCCGCGUGUAUGAAGAAGGCCUUCAGGUAGUAAAGUACUUUCAGCGGGGAGGCGUUACCCGCAGAAGAAGCACCGGCGAACUCCGUGCCAGCAGCCGCGGUAAUUC
This 406-nucleotide ribosomal RNA is filed under the name uncultured bacterium. RNAcentral describes it as "partial 16S ribosomal RNA". It matches the Rfam family "Bacterial small subunit ribosomal RNA", at positions 30 to 526 of the family's 1533-position model. The record is from RNAcentral.